This 225-nucleotide ribosomal RNA is filed under the name Listeria monocytogenes. Its description in RNAcentral is "partial 16S ribosomal RNA". It matches the Rfam family "Bacterial small subunit ribosomal RNA", at positions 1318 to 1533 of the family's 1533-position model. The record is from RNAcentral. Lineage: Bacteria; Bacillati; Bacillota; Bacilli; Caryophanales; Listeriaceae.
ACAUGAAGCCGGAAUCGCUAGUAAUCGUGGAUCAGCAUGCCACGGUGAAUACGUUCCCGGGCCGUGUACACACCGCCCGUCACACCACGAGAGUUUGUAACACCCGAGGUCGGUAGGGUAACCUUUAGGGAGCCAGCCGCGGAAGGUGGGACAGAUAAUGGGGGUGAAGUCGUAACAAGGUAGCCGUAUCGGAAGGUGCGGCUGGAUCACCUCCUUUCUAAGGAA